AUUUAGAGUUUAGGAUUUAUCCAAGGGUUUAGGGUUUACCCAAGAGUUUAUAGUUUACCCAAGGGUUCAGGGUUUAGGAUUUAGGAUUUAGGGUUUAGGAAUUAGGAUUUAGGGUUUAGUGUUUUGCUGCGACGUUAAAAAAAAAAUUAAUUCUUUUUUCUGUAACUACUAUUUUUUUUUUACUUUUAUAUUUUAAAAACAUAAUAUAACUUGCCAAUAUUUUAUUUUCUUUUUUAAAAGAUAUCGAAUUUUAAAUAGUGA
This 261-nucleotide long non-coding RNA is filed under the name Brassica napus (rape). RNAcentral describes it as "long non-coding RNA (BNAP_LNC026317)". Lineage: Eukaryota; Viridiplantae; Streptophyta; Magnoliopsida; Brassicales; Brassicaceae. The record is from RNAcentral.